GGGGGGAGGAAUUGGCGGGGGAGCACCGCAACGGGAGGAGCGUGCGGUUUAAUUGGAUUCAACACCGGAAAACUCACCAAGGGCGACUGUUACAUGAAGGCCAGGCCGACGACCUUGCCGGAUUUUCAGAGAGGUGGUGCAUGGCCGUCGUCAGUUCGUACCGUAAGGCGUUCUCUUAAGUGAGAUAACGAACGAGACCCUCACCGAUAAUUGCUACUUCUUCCUCCGGGGAGGAGGCACAUUAUCGGGACCGCUGGCGCUAAGCCAGAGGAAGGAGAGGUCAACGGUAGGUCAGUAUGCCCCGAAUCUCUUGGGCUACACGCGCGCUACAAAGGGCGGGACAAUGGGCUCCGACGCCGAGAGGCGGAGGCAAUCCCGAAACCCGUCCGUAGUUCGGAUUGAGGGCUGUAACCCGCCCUCAUGAAGCUGGAUUCCGUAGUAAUCGCGAAUCAACAACUCGCGGUGAAUAUGCCCCUGCUCCUUGCACACACCGC
RNAcentral lists this ribosomal RNA (494 nucleotides) under uncultured archaeon. Its description in RNAcentral is "bacterial SSU rRNA". It matches the Rfam family "Archaeal small subunit ribosomal RNA", at positions 854 to 1349 of the family's 1478-position model. The record is from RNAcentral.